Molecule: ribosomal RNA, 253 nt
Filed under: uncultured bacterium
Lineage: Bacteria
Description: partial 16S ribosomal RNA
Rfam family: Bacterial small subunit ribosomal RNA
Source: RNAcentral
UACAGAGACUGCAAGCGUUAUUCGGAUUCACUGGGCGUAAAGGGUGCGCAGGCGGCCGUAUGUGUGAGGCGUGAAAGCCCGGGGCUUAACCCCGGAAUUGCACCUCAAACUAUACGGCUAGAGCAUUGGAGAGGGUAGCAGAAUUCAUGGUGUAGCAGUGAAAUGCGUAGAUAUCUGGAGGAACACCGGUGGCGAAGGCGACAUCCUGGACCGGUAUUGACGCUGAGGCGCGAAAGCCAGGGGAGCAAACGGG